This 253-nucleotide ribosomal RNA is filed under the name uncultured bacterium. Its description in RNAcentral is "partial 16S ribosomal RNA". It matches the Rfam family "Bacterial small subunit ribosomal RNA", at positions 524 to 776 of the family's 1533-position model. The record is from RNAcentral.
UACGUAUGGAGCAAGCGUUAUCCGGAUUUACUGGGUGUAAAGGGAGCGCAGGCGGUCUGGCAAGUCUGAUGUGAAAGGCCGGGGCUCAACCCCGGGACUGCAUUGGAAACUGUCAGACUGGAGUGUCGGAGAGGUAAGCGGAAUUCCUAGUGUAGCGGUGAAAUGCGUAGAUAUUAGGAGGAACACCGGUGGCGAAGGCGGCUUACUGGACGAUGACUGACGCUGAGGCUCGAAAGCGUGGGGAGCAAACAGG